RNAcentral lists this ribosomal RNA (257 nucleotides) under uncultured bacterium. RNAcentral's name for it is "partial 16S ribosomal RNA". It matches the Rfam family "Bacterial small subunit ribosomal RNA", at positions 524 to 776 of the family's 1533-position model. The record is from RNAcentral.
UACGGAGGAUGCAAGCGUUAUCCGGAAUGAUUGGGCGUAAAGCGUCCGCAGGUGGCUGUGUAAGUCUGCUGUUAAAGAGUCUAGCUCAACUAGAUACAAGCAGUGGAAACUACACGGCUAGAGUACGUUCGGGGCAGAGGGAAUUCCUGGUGUAGCGGUGAAAUGCGUAGAGAUCGAGGAAGAACACCGGUGGCGAAGGCGCUCCUGGCUGGGACCGACACUGACACUGAGAGACGAAAGCUAGGGGAGCGAAUGGG